Molecule: long non-coding RNA, 6630 nt
Organism: Schistocerca serialis cubense
Lineage: Eukaryota; Metazoa; Arthropoda; Insecta; Orthoptera; Acrididae
Exons: 7
Source: RefSeq, a predicted model, not a curated record
GCUGACAGGUAGAGAGCUGUCACGACGAGAAAAAUAGCACACUAAUGUACAGGAGGAAAUUCGCAACCAUGGAGAGUAUAUGUGGAUUGCAUACAGAAGUCCAAAAGCAUAACAGCUACAAUUCAUCAAUAGCGAAUGACAGUCUAUGAAUCAAUCCGUACAUGUCCUAAUCUCCUUUAUCAUGUUUCUAUGAUUACCACUCCAGAAAUACAGCAGUGUGAUGGUGACCAAGUCUUUGUCGACAGCAUAGUAUCUCUCUCUCUCCAUCGUUAUUUUUGUAAUAUCCAAUGGAGUAAAACUAUGAAGUGUAAAAGCUUUGCAAAGGUUACCUGGUAGGGAACUCAUUAAGAUUUUACCGUAUUUCUCUUUCAUCCGAUAUAGUGGGGAAACAAAUACCAUCUGCAUGUUGACAUAGACUCAUAGACCAUAUGUGAUGAUACCAUUAAAUAUACAUGUUGUCAGUCCACUAGUGCAGGCGACCAGUGAUCAAACUUGCUUUCAUGAACCUGUGUAAAGUUUGGUCGCCUGUACUGGAGAAAGACUGUAUCGAUUAUAUCACAAAGAGAGAGUUCGUGUGUUGUUGUUUCAUAAGCAGUUUGAUACAUUCUUUUCCUGCUGUAACACAACCAAGCAGUGUGUGACAACAUCUUUGUACUCCGCCAAACAUUUUCCAACACGACUUUGAGGUCUGUGUCAGAUGCUAAACCAACAAUAACACGCUUCAUCCAUUGGCUCUCACAGAAAGCUGGACAUCACAUGGUGUAAACUAUACUGCUUUCACUGCACAUAGAAUAAUUUAAAUUAGAGACACGGGCUGUGUUUCUUACUGAAAAAAAUGUGGAAGACAUUGCAACAUAUGGAAACUGGAGCGUUUCCAAACUGCUGUCUGAAGGUGAUGACCCCUACAUUUAAUCAAAUUUUCCACAGUGAUAGCAUAGCAGAUGUCUCAAUGUUCCGUUUCAAAGAGACCAAGACCAUUCCUUAUAUUGCAGUCAUGUACACGAUCACUGUUUCGAUGGAACGUGUUGCUAACACCAAGACUCACUCCAUCUCAAGUAUGUGAUAUCAGUGAAUCAUUAUGCUGUAAUCAACAGUGCACUACUGCACGGAUAGGAUGGAAAAGACACCGUCAAUGUACUGUAAUAAGCACCACAGUUGAUAGUUCGAUCAAUUUUAGCAAAAUUACCAGCUCUUCUGUAAUUUCAGUGCCAGCCAGUGGUGGUGGAUGGAAUUGGAAGCAUUUUACAUAAAUCAACUGUACUAUCAGCUAUGUAGUAUUGUUCUCAUGUCUGGGAUCAGUACCAAGAAGGUAUUAGCAAGAGAGAAAUGAUCGUAAAACAUAACGCACACACACACUCGUAAUGAUGGACGGCUCUGCGCUUAAACAUGUUAUAACUAUGUGAUGUGCAACGCCCUUAAUACUCUAAUGCAGGAAUGGAUGUCCAACAUCUGACAUACAUCCACGCUGCAAAUUUUCUAUCCCACUCACCAUGGUGACAAACUUUAAGAUGAUAAAACUACUUCCUUCUGCAGCAAAGAAAACCAUAGACUCUUUGUUAUGCAUGUACAAUAUACUUUUCAUUGGUGUAUAAUACCCAGUGCUCAAAUCCGAUUACACUUCAGAAAUUAUGCUAUGCUCACAUCAUUCCUAUGAGAUGAUCGCCAGCAAUGGAAAAUUCAUCUUAUGAGGAAACAGACAAAUGCAUAGCACUGGUGUUUGACAUGUGAAAUUGCACUCCGUGCUGGAAUAACUCUUUAUACAGGACAACUAUCAAGAAAAUGCACACACACACACACACACACACACACACACACACACACAGGGUUUGCAGUAACUCACAAAUCCCAGUCUGCGAUUUAGAAAAAAAGCUAAAACAUUUUACAUACAUCACUUGUGCUAACAAAUCUGAAUUAUUGUUCAGAUAUUUGUUGUCUACGCCAAGGAGAUAUCGGAAAGAGAGAAAUGAUUGUGGAACAUAAAUGCAUUCCAAGGGCUACAUGAUUCUCCCCUUAAACAUACCAUAAUGCUAGAGCUGUCCAGUUUCCAACCAAUCAUUAGUCAUGUAGAAUGCGACGUCGUUAAUAUUCCAAUGUAAGAAAUAUAUUUCCAGCGCAUGACAUACAUUCUACACGCAAGUUUUUCUACGAUAAAGUACGGUGACAGACUGUAAGGUGAUAAAACAUCUAACUUGAAUACCAAAGAAAACACUGGAUUCUUUGUUACACAAACACUACAUAGGUUUCUGAAGUUGUAUGAUGCCUACUGUUUAGGGAGUUCAAGCUCAAUUACGGUUCGGAAAUUAUGAUAUGUUCACAACCACCAUAUAAAAUGACUGUUGAUAGCCGAAAAUGCAUACAAAGAAACAGUGAGAUCUUACGAGGAAAUAAAUAUCAUGCAGUUUACCACCGUUCCUGCUAGCCUCCCUCUUGCACAUAGAAGUCAUGGUCCGAUGUGAGGCUGUAUUGCUCAUGUGUGAGACAAUAUUGUUGUCUCUAGAAUUCCUUCUCUUUCCACUAUUAAGGUAUUUAGGCCUAUAUGCAGCAUCAGUUCACUCUCCUCCUCCAAAACAUGUAAUAUUAUCGAUUUCACUCAAUAUUACUGGUAAUUUUUUUCUAAUUUGAAGUAUGCCCACUCAACUUCCGUAAUUUUACGAGGUUUUCACUAUUUUACAUACUUCAUCGUAUUUCCCUCAAUGUUCAUGUAUUUACUUCAGUUUUACGUGAUAAUACCAGGUGUUCCCUCAAUUUUACCAAUUUUAUGUCAUUUUUCAUAUUUUCUUGACACCUUGCCAUUUGUAUACGCUCUUAUUGCUAACAUACCCACAUGUUCAUUGAUUUUCUAUGAAAAUAUUUGAGCGUCUUAUAUGCCAACCUACUAAACAGUCCUAAGAUUUCCCCUCUCCUUGAAGAUGCACAUGCAUGCAUUUUGGACAGGAUGAUCAUGAAAAGUAUAAUAACAGUCACUUCAUACCUAUAAAAGAUUCAAUGAGUGGUGCAGAUGGUGGAUGUAUUAGAAAAUCAAAGUCUGGAAACAAUUGUGUGUACUGCUAUGACACAUCAGAGAGCCUGUCUGCAGACUCAUGUAGUGCUGCACUUGACAGAGUCUUAAGUCUGGACACAGUUCUACAUGUUCAUUUGACUACCACCCUAUCAUGUAGGGGUCUCCAACAAGGAUUUGGCAUGUGUACAGAGUUGAUUUCUAUUGCUGCUCGGAUUUUUUUUUCCGUAAGUAUUUGCUCUUAGUGCUUACUAGAUGUGCUUCGAUAUUUCUGUUUGUACUGCAGCGGCAACACUGCUUAGGAUAGGGAAAGUUAGUUUUGUGCGAUAUUUGGACCACGAGUUACAGGCAGGUGCUAGCCAGAUUGCAGUAAGUUACGCAUACCAGCAGUUGCGAAGGCAAAUAGAGGCCACAGGGGCCUAGAACUGCCGGAGAGGGCGCACACAGCAAUUUCCAUGGCGCAAGUCACAAGCAGAAGAGGGCCACUGGCCAACCUAAGUGUUAUGCAUACGUGAUGCAAAGCGGCCCUCUUGGUAAAGCAUUGGCGCACAGCCAAGUAUAAAUAAGUGCCAUUUUCUAACGAGAUUCAUUCAAGUGUGGCAGCUCUCCUGUACGGCGGGGCGUAUCUCACCACCGGGCUACAUACAGCAACAGAUGGGGCGCCAGCGUCCCAGUCCACGCCGGGUCGUUGGUUCGACUCUCUGAGACCGACGCAGGGUCCGCAGCAAGCCAGGCGGGCCACCCUUCAGCUCACUACUGCGGGCAGUCGUCUCGGCUCCCGACACACGCUGGACACUUCCCGAGGCAAGGGCAGCAGAUUCGGACGCCAGAUCGCGGGUGGUAAUUGCCGCCGCGUUCUCAGCUACGCCAGCGAGGAAGAAGCAGCAGCGGGGCCGGCCUACAGCUCCCGGCGGAGCAGCGCUGAAUCAAUGGGGAAGAAGACUGCUGAGCCGGCUGUCGGCACCUCCUGGCAAUCAGCCAUUACAUUUAGUGUCAUAAUAGCGGACGUCGUCUGUCCAGUAUGACGUUCGAGCCCACCACCUGCAUUAUGGUCACAAGAUGUGUUUCGUUUCCUACAUAAAAUUCUGAGUUCAAGUGAACAACAGCAUGCUCAGCCUCCUCAGCCUGCAACAACAAGAAUUCAACAAGAAAUUGAUGAGGCAGUACAGAGGGAGAGAGAACUGAAAGAAGCAAAUGGAAUUCAGACAUCUGAUGAAAAUAUUGUACAUAAGAGAUCUCAAACACCUGAUGCUGUCAACAGUUCCACAGAAGAGAGAGAGAGAGUGAUCCAAAUAGUUUCUCCUCUUCGAACAAUCUUUCAGAUUCACUAAAUGAUGGAGAACCCUCAGCACAAGCUGUUCCAACAAAGAGAUCUCAGUCAUCAAGUCCAUCACUUAAUAAUUCUCCAUUUGCAAGCCCAACACACAGGUUCUCAUCUGGUGGUUGACAGAAAGGAUUGAUGCAGAGGUUUUAUGCAUCACAUGGAAGGAUGAGAAUUUAUGCUGCUCCAAGGAAUACUGUACCUGUUGUUGUUUCUCCUCCUUCUGUUUCACCUGUACAUAACCAGCCUCCAAUUCAAAGGAAGAUCAUUGACAUCAAUAGUGGGAAUGAUUCACAGGAUUCAGAUGAAGACCUGGUAAAGACUCCAGUGAGAAAGGGCUACCAAUCAGCUGAAGAGAAGAUACAAGCAGAGUUACAAGAGAUGCAAAAACGUGAAGAAGAAUUGAGGUUGCUGAGAGCAAAACUAUUUGCUCAGUCACAGCCAAAUCUUUUGAGCAUUGGUAGUAUUGAGGAAGAAGAAAUUAAUCAUAUCAAUGGUAAUGGAGGGAAACAGACUUUGCAGAGUGCACAGUCUAUUCAAAACCUCUUAGAUUCUGAUGAUUCAUUGGAUGUUUCACAGGAUCCGGCUUCACAAAAGUUUCAGAAAAAUUCCCCAAGAAAAAGAAGUGCACUGAUUGCUGAGUGGGAGAGCAGGAUCCAAAAAAAUUCAGAGCAUUGAUCAUGACCUCUGAACCACCACCAAUGAAAAUGUCACAUUCCAGAAUGUGUGUAGAUACAACCAAGAAACAAUACUGCCUUUGCAAUUUUACUAGACUGCUGUGUUCCCAGUAUUGUGAAGAAAUUUGUUUUUCUUAUGUAGAGUUUCUUAAUAUUAUUGUGCAAUUAUUGUUGAAGAUUUCUGACAGGACCAGAAAUAAUAAGUAUUAUUAGGGAGGUAAUACACAAUACAUUCCAGCCACAUAGGAAACAAUGUCUAAGAUAUUUUCUUAAUGGGUUUCUUUGUAAUUUUAUAAGAACUGUCAUUUUACUCUGUGUGAUGAAUUGGUUUGAAGCUGAAUAUUCUGUUAAAAUCCUUAAACUUAAUUUCAAUGCACAAAUACUCAUACCAUAUGUUCUUAUUUGGCUACUGGGAUUUCAUAAUGGCUUCCAGUCACUUUUGGUUACCAUUGGCAUGAUGCAGAAGUUGAAGUAAAAAUUUCAAUGGUAUGAGCAGUGUUGUAUCAUUCUGUGUUGAAAGCAAUCAAAACAAUUUGAUUUUCCUUGUAUUGUGUCUUGCCUAUAUGCUAAAUUUGAUGAUUGCAUUUGAUGGAAAUUCAAAUGAAAAUCUAAAGUGAUGAGUGUUAAUAAAUGUUCCAUUUAGUGUGUUCUUUUCUUGAACUUCAGUGUAACACACUCCUGAAGAAAUAUUUUCCCUUUAUUGUUCUACACACAAGGAGCUUUUGUCCUUCCUUCUCAUUAAUUUGAAUGUGCUUAAAAAUUAGAAUAUUGCUGUGUGUCAUAUGUAAUUGCAAUAGAUUAAGGGUAUACUCCUUCAUAGUAUUCCAUGACUAGAAAUGUUUUGUUGAUUAAAUUGAUGGCUGAUGAAUUAACAAAAUGUAUUUGCCAUCCUUUUGUUGUGCUGGUUGGAAGCAUCACUCGAUUGCAAAUUUAGUCUGCUAAUUUCUUAAAGAAAUACAUGAAAAUGAAACAAACUGUAGAUAAAUAGUUAUACAACAGUAAUAAUGCAAGAAUUACAGUAAAAUUAAGAGAAACUAAUAUAUAGUAUUUUGAGACACUUAUAAUAUGGUUAUUCAAACAUGACCAAAAUGUAAUAUUGCUGGGAGUGUAACUGUCCUAUCUGGAUGAUGCUUAUGCAAGAUUCAGUGUAAAGAUUGAACGUAGUUAGAACUCUGCAACUGUUAAUCAAAGUAAUGUCUGUAGAAAAGCAUGUUUGUGAAAAAGGAAACUAAGCUUCAGCAGUUUCAGAAGAGAAUUGGCGUAAGUAUCACUAGUCUGGGUGUAUGUAGAGAGGAGACUAAGAAAACAGUUGUUUGAAUUCAUUUUCCUGUUUCUUCUUUCAAGUUAUGAAGUAAUUUUGGAAUACAUAACAAAAAAUUGAUAUACGAGAAGCUGUUAAAUAUAAGUAUUAAAACUAUUGAACAAAUAGGCAUUAUAGUUAACAACAUUUUAUUGUGUAAGAGUUGUUUGUAUGUGUAAUAUGACUGUUCUGUUACAUAUUGAUGAAAUUUCCACAUCACUCGUUAUUUUCAUUGUUGAAAUUGCAGGUAAUAUCUGUUAUAUAUAAGUGUGUGUGUGUGUGUGUGUGUGUGUGUGUGUGUGUGUGUGUGUGUGUGUGUGUGUGUGUGUGUGUG